This is a non-coding RNA of Pelobates cultripes (western spadefoot toad), 211 nucleotides long. Lineage: Eukaryota; Metazoa; Chordata; Amphibia; Anura; Pelobatidae. The record is from the annotation of a GenBank genome assembly.
GUUUUAGAGAUUAACUUGUAAGAAGAACAUUUUCUGAGGUUGACAUAACCAAGUUUUCAGAAUCACUGUUUGGUAUUAUAUUCCCACCCGUACGGCCAACUCGCGCUUGCAGGACUUCUCGCGGGCGGCUCCCUUCCUAUGGAAUAGCCUGCCUCCCUCCAUCAGACUCUCCCCUAGUCUUGCAUCUUUUAAGAAGUGCCUUAAAACCCAU